This 408-nucleotide unclassified non-coding RNA is filed under the name fungal sp. RNAcentral's name for it is "partial internal transcribed spacer region". The stretch from base 1 to 46 matches the Rfam family "Eukaryotic small subunit ribosomal RNA", at positions 1786 to 1831 of the family's 1831-position model. Lineage: Eukaryota; Fungi. The record is from RNAcentral.
AAGUCGUAACAAGGUAACCGUAGGUGAACCUGCGGUUGGAUCAUUAUUGAAUAAUAAUAAUCUUUUUUAUUUUUUUUUGUAGGAAUUUUAAAACCUCCUCAAAAAAAAAUAUAAACCCCAAAAACUUACACUUUAUGAAAUUUAUUUAAAUGUCUUUACCUGUCUUUUUUUUUUCUAUUUUUUCUUUAGGCUCAAGUUUUUUCGCAAGAAAGAAUUUUUUUGGCUUAAAGAUUUUUUAGAAAAAAUGGGCAGGGUAUUUAUAAACACCAAUUUUCUAUAUGUAAGGCUUUUAAAGUCUUUUUUUAUUAUAGUUUUCUUUUUUAUAUAUAGUUAUUUCUAUAUUAGAAAAGUAAAACAAAAUAAAGAAAAAAAAGCAAACAACUUUUGACAACGGAUCUCUUGGUUCUC